RNA transcript from Drosophila biarmipes, 7565 nucleotides. It is a transcript of the gene named plexin-B, with no coding region annotated. NCBI's taxonomy places the organism in Eukaryota, Metazoa, Arthropoda, Insecta, Diptera, Drosophilidae. The transcript is spliced from 6 exons. The record is from RefSeq and is a predicted model, not a curated record.
AUAGUGUACACACUAAACGUUGCUUCGGAAAUAUCAUAAUCUUAAUAUACUUAAUGGUUUUUAUUAUGUUUUAUAAAUGCUCUCAAAAAAAAUCGGAAGUUUUUAGUCCCUAACUAAUUCUAAUUUCAAAUUAUACCUGCAAAGAAACUUUCAAAGUGUAUCGGUUAAAUAUUAUGUUAUUGAAAACUUAGUAGACUGUUGAGGAUGUAAUUGUUUAAAAUGUUAUUGAGAAUUGCUGCUCAAAAUCUACUUAAAUCUGACCAGAAACAUAUACAAAAAAACAAUAAAUAUGAUGCGAAAGGGCUUGUAUUAUGCGGACUUUAUUUAUAUGUUAUGUGGACUGUGCAUUAUUACCAUACUCAGUACGCAUCAUCAAUCCGUAAAUUGCACAAAAGAAUCGCCGGCUCAGUUAUCUUCUCCCUCAAAUGAUAUUGUCGCCCAGUUUAACCUUCCUUCAAUAACGUCAGCAUCUAACUAUGGAAAUCGCUCAAAAGGAUAUAAUGGAGAAAACGGUGAAGACUCUCAAUCUAAGAACUAUUUUACGCAUCUGAGCUUCGAUUUUAUGAACAAUGUCUUGUUUGCGGGUGCCACAAAUAAAAUACUUAAACUUAACGAGAACCUGCGUGUGCUGUCUGAGGCUGUCACUGGACCCGUAAAUGAUUCACCACAAUGUCAUGCAGGAGGUUGCCCGGAGGACAUAGAGACAUCGCUGGUCAACAAUUACAAUAAAAUUCUCGUAGUAAGCUACGCUCACGAUGGCAUUCUUAUAUCGUGUGGUAGCAUUCGACAAGGCGCAUGCGAAAUUUACAGCCUUCCGCGGUUUCCAUCAACGCCUCAAUUUGUCGCAGUUCCAUUGGCGGCUAAUGAUGAAAAUGCAUCAACAUAUGCAUUUGUAGGUCCUGCACGAUAUUCAUGGAAAGAAGAGGAUAUUUUAUAUGUGGGAACGACGUUCACGAACGUUGGUGAUUAUCGCCAUGACGUUCCUGCCAUUUCGUCCCGUCGGCUUGAUGAUUUAAACUACGCAGAGUUUUCAAUACAGCAGUCAAUUAUAAAUAUCGAUGUCAAAUAUCGGGAUCAUUUCUUAGUCGAUUAUGUUUAUGGCUUUAACUCUUCUGAAUAUGCGUACUUUGUUAUUGUUCAAAAAAAAUCACAUUUAGCUGAUGAGGCAGGUUAUGUAACCCGUUUGGCUCGAAUAUGUAUUACAGAUCCCAAUUAUGACAGUUAUACUGAAAUAACAGUUCAGUGUACGGCCACUGAAAAUCAUAUUGACUACAAUAUACUACGCGAUGCCAAAGUAACUCCGGCAAGCCAAAAAUUAGCUCAGAAAAUGGGUAUAAAAAAGGACGAUCACGUGUUAGUAACUGUUUUUUCGCCCUCGAAAGAGAUAAGCGAUCAGCCAGAAAGCAAAUCGGCUAUGUGCAUAUAUAGCAUAAAAGACAUUGAGGACAUGUUUAUUGAAAAUAUUCAUCUGUGCUUUAACGGAACCAUAAAGGAUAGAAAUUUGGGUUAUAUAUCGGGCACUAUCAAUGACGGCCGGUGCCCAAUAGUUGGCUCGCUCGGUAACAUAUACAACUUUUGUUCUGUAGGACUUAAGAUAAGCGGAGUUUCUCCUAUCACUACACACGCUCUCUUUCAUUUUGAUAAUGUAUCAGUUACGUCAAUAACUGCAACGUCAACGACUGAUCAGCAGCAUUCUCUUGCUUUUCUUGGAACCGACAAGGGAUUGAUAAAAAAAGUUUUAUUAUCUGGUCAGAAUCCAGGUGAGUACGAAGAAAUAGUUGUGGAUGCUGGAAAUCGGAUACUACCAAACACUAUGAUGUCGCCCAAAAAAGAUUUCCUUUACGUUUUAUCGCAACGUAAAAUAACUAAACUCAGAAUCGAGCAUUGUUCUGUAUACACAAAUUGUUCAGCUUGCUUGGAGUCUCGGGACCCUUUUUGUGGAUGGUGUUCAUUGGAAAAACGGUGCACCGUGCGGUCAACAUGUCAGCGAGAUACGUCAGCAUCGCGAUGGCUUUCUUUGGGCAGUGGGCAACAGUGUAUUGAGUUUGAAUCAAUUAUCCCUGAGAAAAUACCAAUUACUGAUCUAACACACCUGCACCUAAUAAUUCGAACACUGCCCGAACCUUUUAAUGCAAAAUACCGAUGUGUCUUUGGAAACUCUACCCCUAUUGACGCCGAAAUCCUGGACAAUGGACUCGGAUGUGCUACCCCCCCACUAGAUGAAAGACCAGUAAUACCAACUAAUACAGACCAUGUUUUGGUGCCAUUGUCCGUUAGAAGUUCAGAGACAAAUAAGGACUUUGUAUCAAGAUUUUUUGCAUUCUUUGACUGUUCGCAUCAUGGAAAUUGCCAGGAAUGUUUACAAAGUUCAUGGGGCUGCAACUGGUGUAUUUUUGACAAUAAAUGUGUCCAUCAAUCAAUACAAUGUCGUAAUAUAGAAAAUUCGGUAACUAGUGUUGGUCAAUGCCCCCAUUUAAAAAGCAAUCGUCCGGCGAUUCUUUUACCGGUGCGGGUGCCAAAAGAAAUUCGUUUAGAGAUAGAAAACUUACCAAAACCCAAAAGCGCUCACGCUGGAUUCUUGUGUACAGUUCAUAUUGAAGCUGCUCAGAUGCUAUUGCCUGCCCACAUUGAGUCAAACAAGAUUGUUGUUUGUGAAAAAACACCUUAUUUCUACGAGACUAAUACACAUGAAUACCAAGCAAAGGUUGUAAUUACAUGGAAUUUCCAGCACUAUGUGGACACGGCGAUUGUUACAUUAUAUAAAUGCGACGUACUGGGCUCACAUCGGGAUCAUGCUGAUUGCAGUUUGUGUGUCACUCGUGAUCCAAAAUACCAAUGUGCUUGGUGCAGCAACUCAUGUGUAUAUAACGAGACUUGCAUAGCAGACAGUGAUCGUGCUAUUAGUGCAGGAUCAAAAACAACUAAAGAAAACGAGUGCCCUUUACCAAGGAUCGAUAUUAUUAAACCGUUAUCUGGACCUAUUGAGGGUGGUACCCUUAUUACAAUUGAAGGCAGUAAUUUGGGCAUUCGCGAAGGAGAUGUGCGUGGAAAAAUAUUUAUUGGGUCUGUGCCUUGUGAACUAGUCAACUACCAAAUUUCUGUAAAGAUCGAAUGCCGCACUGGAGCAGUGAUGUAUGAAAUGUCAGCGCCUAUAAAGGUUGCAAAUGAUGCAGGGUAUACUGAAUCUAGUGUACAAUUUCACUUUAAGAAUGUUUUGCUAACAGGAUUAUAUCCCACGAUUGGGCCCAGGUCGGGAGGAACACAAUUGUCGUUAAUAGGAAAGUUUUUGAACAUUGGAUCAACCAUGCGAGCAUAUUUAGAUGAGUACGAGUGUCAUAUAAACGUUACACAAGCUUCUUCAACUCAAGUUAGUUGUACUACAUCAGAGGCGACCCAACCAGAACCAAUACGGUCUCUACACCUUCUUAUUGACGGUGCCAACCGAACUUUAGAAUGUCAUAUCUCACCCGCAACUAUACCCAAUAAAAAUCUAACUCGAAGUAAUUUCGGUUCAUACCAAUUUCGUACGUUACCAAGGCAGCCCUGUUCUAUUUUUAACUAUACCCAAGACCCGCGUAUAAUGCAGAUUAAGCCUUUACGCAGUUUUGUAAGUGGUGGUCGCGUUCUGACCGUUCAUGGAAUGUAUCUUAAUUCAAUUCAAAAGCCUGAACUUGAAGUUUUUUUUGAUAAUGAAAGAGUAAACAAAACAUCUUGCAUAGUAAUCAAUUCAAAUCAAAUGGAAUGCCCAUCUCCUCCGGUAAAUGAUAAAUUUCAAGCAUUUAAAAGUUCUAACAGAGUGAUGGAUUCGGAAUUUGACUUUAAAAAUGAAAGUGCGCAUCAGAACGAAUAUUCUAGACGAAAGCGAAAAGCAGACUUCGUAGACAACUUUCAUAUAUACACAACAGGGGGAACUGCGCCUAGCUAUUUCGUCAAUAAUAAUAUGGAUGUUACAACUUUUGUAAAGGUCCAUGAAACGCAACUGAAUUUACAACUUAGUUUUGUAAUGGACAAUGUACAGCUUGUUCGAGAUCUAAAUAAAUACUUUCAUGAUAUCAGGAGCACUAUUGUUUAUUUAGCCGAUCCAAAAUAUUUACCAUUUCCAAAUGACGGAAUUAAACUAUACAAGGGUGACAGCUUGGUUAUUGAAGGCGAGCUACUAAAUUUGGCAGCUGAUGAAUACGACGUUAAUGUAACCAUUGGUACUACUCAAUGCAAUAUAACAAGCCUUACACUAACUCAACUUUUGUGCAUUCCACCGGAACAUCAACCACUCCCAACUGAUGAAAAUGGUGUGGAUCAAUCGACAGAUUUACCUCUAGUUGUGGUUAAAGUAGGGCGAAAUCUUCGUUUCGCCAUAGGAUAUUUGAAAUAUGAUUUAAAUAAACCCUAUGUUUUUUCACAUGCCAUGUUUGUCGUUAUAUUGACAGUUGCAGUGCUUGUCAUCGUUUUGGUUGUCGUACUAAUAAUAUUUAGAAGGAAAUCGACCCAAGCAGAACGGGAAUACAAACGAAUUCAGAUACAGAUGAUAACAUUGGAAAGCAACGUUCGUUCUGAGUGUAAACAGGCAUUUGCUGAGCUCCAAACGGACAUGACCGAUCUAACAGCAGAUUUGGAGAGCACCGGUAUACCAACGUUAGAUCACGUCAAUUACAUUAUGAAAGUUUUCUUUCCCGGUGUAUCAGAUCAUCCUAUUCUAAACUCCCGAAAAUUUUGUGGAAGUAGCCCGCACACUAACUAUGAUGCAGCUAUGAUACAAUUCGAGCAACUUAUUGGAAACAAAUAUUUUUUACUAUUGUUCAUAGAAACUUUAGAAGCUCAACGGUCAUCUUUCUCAAUUCGCGAUCGAGUUAACGUCGCCUCUUUACUUAUGGUUGUUCUAAUGAACAAAAUGGAAUAUGCGACGGAAAUUUUAAAGUCCCUUUUAUUGCGAUUAAUUGACAAAUCGCUCGCCAGCAAGCAUCCUCAGCUAAUGCUACGACGCACUGAGAGCGUAGUUGAAAAAAUGUUAACAAACUACUUAGCAAUUUGUAUGUACGACUACCUAAAAGAAUAUGCUGGAUCUAAUUUAUUUUUGCUGUUCAAGGCAAUUAAGCAUCAAAUUGAAAAGGGUUUGGUGGACGCAAUAACCCACGAUGCUCGUUAUUCACUUUCAGAGGAACGACUUCUCCACGAACAAGUUACCCAUUCUGUUGUAAUUUUGCACAUUUUACAAGAUGAUCUUGAUGAAAAAGUCCAAUGUCGUGUAAACGAUUUGGAUACCAUAUCGCAAGUUAAAUUAAAAAUUUUGGACGCAAUUUUUAAAAAUACUCCGUUUUCUAUGAGACCAUCUGUGCACGAAGUUGACUUAGAAUGGAGGCAUGGAAGAGGAGGUCAUCUCACAUUACAAGAUGAAGACCUAACUACAAAAACAAUAAAUGGAUGGAAACGCCUCAACACAUUGGCCCAUUAUGGAGUAAAAGAAUCGGCUGUGAUGUCACUUAUAGCACGGCAAAAUGAUAACUACCACAUACCGUAUGGCAAAAACCAAAAUCAGGCACCUUACCAUAAUUUUUAUUUUAUAAAUAACUCUCAAAGCCAUAUUAUAAUUAAUAAUGACAUCGAGUCAGGAUUGCAACAACCUCGACUUUACCAUCUUAUCAAACCCAUUAUACCUGAUCAUUAUAUGAACAUUAAAAACUCUGCCUUAUCUGGAGCUUCACCAGCAACUCAAUCAUCCCAUUGCGUAAAUAAUUGUAAUGAGAGGGUAAACAAAACUAUACCAGAGGUCUACUUAACACGUCUCUUGGCCACAAAGGGAACUAUACAAAAAUUCGUUGAUGAUUUCUUUUCAAUUAUUUUAACCGUUAAUGAGGAGUUACCGCCUGCAGUGAAAUGGCUUUUUGAUUUGCUAGAUGAAGCAGCUCGACGUCAUGACAUUGCUGAUACUGAUAUUGUACACGCUUGGAAAUCAAAUUGUUUGCCCCUUCGAUUUUGGGUUAAUUUUAUAAAGAAUCCUGAUUUUAUAUUUGACGUAAAUAAAACGUAUUGUGUGGAUUCCUGUUUGAGUGUCAUUGCGCAAACUUUUAUGGAUGCAUGCUCAACUGCGGAGCAUAGGCUUGGAAAAGAUUCUCCGUCGAAUAAGUUGUUAUUUGCAAAAACGGAUUUGUUAAGAUAUGUUAUGAGCACAGCGUUAUAUGUAUAUGGCUAUGUCUUGUUUCGUGCAUAAACAAUUCAUAAAAUUUUUUUGACUAUGGGAUGGAAAGAUAAGGAGUGGCAAAACUACUACUACUUGUAGAAUUCAAUGUUUAAAUGGAAAAUAAGUGUUCGUAUAAACUAAAAAAAAAGGAAAGAAGAGAGUAUGCAGCAAUUGAGUGCCUCGACCUUUAUAUCCCUGUCACUCAGCUAACAAAUUUAAGGACAUUCCAAACUAUAGAAUUAUGGUUAAGGAAUUUUACCGGGAUGUCUCAAGGCUUCCACAAAUAAGCGACCAGGAAAUGAGUACAGCAAUGCAACAACUAUCAGUAAGGCAGAAUGAUGAAUUUGACACCAUUUCUGCAUUAAAAGAGUUAUAUAUUUAUAUAACAAAAUAUAAGGAUAAGAUUAUGGAAGCACUUGAAAACGAUAUAAAUUGCCGGAAGAUGCAACUUUCUCGAAAAUUAGAAAGUGUUGGUGUUACACUUGACGGUGACGGAACAUCUAAUUGCUGACACACGCGUGAUUUUUAAGAAUUGUCUGGACAUUAACUUUCGUUUUUUUUUUAGCAAGAACAAUAUUAAUAACUUGCAACUUGUCAAAUCUUAAAAAAAAUGUUAAAGAUAAAAAAUAGAUCAUAUUUGUACAAGAAGCAGACUUUGUAAUAUAAGAACAAAUAUCUAAUCGCUUUUAUAACGAAGAGAAAAUACACAACAUUUUGACCAAAUGCUAAAAAUUAUUUAUUUCCGUAAAUACCGUAAUGGGAACACAAUAUGUGCAGCCCUAAAUCUGAAAGUCCUGAUAACAUUUGCGAUAGCUUAGUAUAAGAAUUAUUAAAAUUAGUAUUAGUGUAUUUUAAACACAAAAAUUAUAUUUCUAGCUUACUUGUAUAUUUUUGACAUGUGGACAAUGUUAUGUGGGUAAUAGAACUCGUCUUAUAUCCCCGACAACCUUUUUUCAAAGGAUAUUUUAAAAAUUUCAAAAUUGGUGGAAAAUAUAAUCAAAGGGGAAAUCAUACACGAUCCAACCUCCCACUUACUAUCUUUUUAAACUGACGCAACAUGAUCCAAAAAAUCGGUAGCACUUAGCACUGAAACGCAAGAAAUUAUCUGAAAAUUUCAAAGGAUUAUUUCUUUGUAAGAAGUCCGAUAGUAAUUAAAAAUAUAAUUUUGGUAAAAUGUAUAUAACAAAUUAGAGUUUUUGCGAAAGUGUUGUGCAUUUUGCCUUCGUACUAGUAACGUUUGUAAACUUUUUCAGCGAGAAUAGAACUGAUUAAUGUAUCUUUAUCUUAAUUAAUUCUUUAUGCAAAUUAAGAUCCUAAAUGUUCACAAAAUAUAUGUAUUUAUAUUGUAUAUAAUAAGCUCUUAAAAAUAUAAAAGAAGUGGAACGAUAAA